This 508-nucleotide ribosomal RNA is filed under the name uncultured bacterium. RNAcentral describes it as "partial 16S ribosomal RNA". It matches the Rfam family "Bacterial small subunit ribosomal RNA", at positions 28 to 523 of the family's 1533-position model. The record is from RNAcentral.
GAUGAACGCUAGCUACAGGCUUAACACAUGCAAGUCGAGGGGAAACGACAUCGAAAGCUUGCUUUUGAUGGGCGUCGACCGGCGCACGGGUGAGUAACGCGUAUCCAACCUGCCCACCACUUGGGGAUAACCUUGCGAAAGUAAGACUAAUACCCAAUGAUAUCUCUAGAAGACAUCUGAAGGAGAUUAAAGAUUUAUCGGUGAUGGAUGGGGAUGCGUCUGGUUAGCUUGUUGGCGGGGUAACGGCCCACCAAGGCGACGAUCAGUAGGGGUUCUGAGAGGAAGGUCCCCCACAUUGAAACUGAGACACGGUCCAAACUCCUACGGGAGGCAGCAGUGAGGAAUAUUGGUCAAUGGGCGAGAGCCUGAACCAGCCAAGUAGCGUGCAGGAUGACGGCCCUAUGGGUUGUAAACUGCUUUUAUAAGGGAAUAAAGUGAGCCUCGUGAGGCUUUUUGCAUGUACCUUAUGAAUAAGGACCGGCUAAUUCCGUGCCAGCCGCCGCGGUAA